This 364-nucleotide long non-coding RNA is filed under the name Elaeis guineensis (African oil palm). RNAcentral's name for it is "long non-coding RNA (EGUI_LNC068628)". Lineage: Eukaryota; Viridiplantae; Streptophyta; Magnoliopsida; Arecales; Arecaceae. The record is from RNAcentral.
CUCUUUGGGGUAUGAGAUCUAGGGUGGGACUUCUAGGGUUUUCUAGUUCCUAUUUUAUGAGAGAGAAAAGCAAAAGGAGUUUUGUUCUUCUUCUACCACACCAUCUCCUUUUUGAAAAACUCUAUCUUUUGAUCUAGAGGUAUUCAUUUGAUCUAAAAAAAGAUAUCUCCAUCAGCCAUCUAGAUCCUUCGUCGCGAGCUAGCACUCUCGAAAAGGAUGAUCUAUUUGGGGCUUCGAGUGGACUAUCUGUAGAGGCCAAACGUGCUGUGCGAUUGCUCACAUUAGGAAGGAUCUCCUACCAUGUGUAUCAACAGUGGUGAUCACUAAUCCAUGAUCAGGUAAUGGGUUCUGAACUCAUCGGAUC